AUUGAACGCUGGCGGCAGGCCUAACACAUGCAAGUCGAGCGGCAGCGGGAGGUGCUUGCACCUCGCCGGCGAGCGGCGGACGGGUGAGUAAUGCAUAGGAAUCUGCCCGGUAGUGGGGGAUAACCUGGGGAAACCCAGGCUAAUACCGCAUACGUCCUACGGGGAGAAAGCAGGGGAUCUUCGGACCUUGCGCUAUCGGAUGAGCCUAUGCCGGAUUAGCUGGUUGGUAGGGUAAUGGCCUACCAAGGCGACGAUCCGUAGCUGGUCUGAGAGGAUGAUCAGCCACACUGGGACUGAGACACGGCCCCAGACUCCUACGGGAGGCAGCAGUGGGGAAUAUUGACAAUGGCGCAAGCCUGAUCCAGCCAUGCCGCGUGUGUGAAGAAGGCCUUCGGGUUGUAAAGCACUUUCAGUGGGGAAGAAGGCCUGUCGGCUAAUACCCGGCAGGAACGACAUCACCCACAGAAGAAGCACCGGCUAACUCCGUGCCAGCAGCCGCGGUAAUACGGA
This 510-nucleotide ribosomal RNA is filed under the name Modicisalibacter luteus. RNAcentral describes it as "bacterial SSU rRNA". It matches the Rfam family "Bacterial small subunit ribosomal RNA", at positions 29 to 529 of the family's 1533-position model. Lineage: Bacteria; Pseudomonadati; Pseudomonadota; Gammaproteobacteria; Oceanospirillales; Halomonadaceae. The record is from RNAcentral.